GUGCAGAACAAUGCGGGUGCAGUUGUCUGGAUCGUAAGCUGACCCAUGAAGUAUAAAGAGCAUGUUAUGAACGGAUCUUCGACAAUACACCGAUUUUUACAUCACGUGGUUGGCGGAAUUAGCUAAAUAGUUAAUUUACUAUUAGCAAUAAUUUAAACAAGCAAUAACCGAGACAAUCAACAAUUUUAGUGCAUCGGAAAAAAAUCAGAGACGAAACUCGUUAAUUUUAGAAAAUUAGGCGUUCCUUUUGUAAAAAUAUGGGUG
Anopheles coustani is the source of this 264-nucleotide long non-coding RNA. RefSeq lists it as uncharacterized. The record is from RefSeq and is a predicted model, not a curated record. Lineage: Eukaryota; Metazoa; Arthropoda; Insecta; Diptera; Culicidae. The transcript is spliced from 3 exons.